RNAcentral lists this ribosomal RNA (489 nucleotides) under Triticum aestivum (bread wheat). RNAcentral's name for it is "partial small subunit ribosomal RNA". Lineage: Eukaryota; Viridiplantae; Streptophyta; Magnoliopsida; Poales; Poaceae. The record is from RNAcentral.
UCUCACCCAUUCCCUGUCCGUCGCCUCCGAUGUAGCUGCUGCGCCACCAAGGACCGCUUCGAGGACCUGCCGGACGACGUGCUCGAGCUGCUCUUGUCGUUCUUGCCCACGCGAGAUACAGUGAGGACAUCCGUGCUCGCUCCCCGCUGGCGCACCCUAUGGAAGUCCGUGCCAGCCUUGCGCCUUGACGGUUCUCAGUUCGAGAGUGCCCAGGUUUUCAGCAAUUUCGUCAAUAAGCUGCUUGAGCACCGUGACAGAACAUCCCAUCUUCAUGAAUGUGAGAUCUUUUUUAUUUCAAAAUACUACUAUGGGAGGUUCGAUCGUGAGGACAAAAACGGUAAGGCACGCCGUGAAGUUGAAUCGUGGGUCCAGUAUGCUGUCUUGUGCCGAGUGCCAGUGCUUCGAGUUCUAAACUGGGGUGAUAAUUAUAUGGAGCUAUCCAGCAGCAGUGUCAUCUCCAAGCACUUGACAAGGCUAGAGCUUUAUUAG